AGUAAAAUUCAAACAAACAAACAAACAAAACAAAUUGGCGCCAGGCAAGAUCUAGCCCCAGAUGGACCGAUCAACCUGAGGCCAGCGCUGUCCAUGGUAACAGGUUUUGUGUGGCUUAAAGCUUUCAUCCAUUUUCCUCACAACCAGUCGGUGAGCGGUAUUAGCCCUGUUUGGUAGACGAGAAAGCUGCGACUGCCUAGGUCACGGCCAAGAAGGCCUUGAGACGCCAGAUCUGCUCGCCGGCCCCCGCGCUGCCCCGAGGCUCCUCAGGCCCCAACGGCUGGCGCUGCCUCCGGGACUCCCGCGGGCUUUUGGCUCCUCCUCACCGCCGCUCGCGCUGGAAGCCCCGCCCCCGAGAGGGCCACGCGACUUCUGCGACGCCCAAUGAGACUUAGCUGGGGGCGGGACGGGACGUCAUUGAGAGCCAAUCUGAUGGGGCCUGGGCGGGACUGCGGCGGGUGGGAGCUGAGCUGCCGCACCGCGGUCUUCCCAGCCCGGAGAGAGCCCGGCGCGGGUGGCGCGCACGGGGCCUUCCUGUGCGCGCGCCCGCUGCCCGCCGCCCGCCGCGCGCCACCCGCGCAGCCCCUCGGCCCGCUCGGCCCUCCGGGUCGUGGCGCCCGUCCCUCCCCUGCUCUCCCGUCGCCGCCGGGACAGGGGCUCCGAGCUGAGCAGAGCCGGGGCAGGGGCGGGAGCCGCGGGACGAGCGCCUGAGGGGCCGCGGAGAAGCCAUGGAGCUGAGCAGCAAGAAGAAGCUUCACGCCCUGUCCCUGGCUGAGAAGAUCCAGGUGCUGGAACUCCUGGAUGAGUCCAAGAUGUCCCAGUCAGAGGUGGCCCGGCGCUUCCAGGUCUCCCAGCCCCAGAUCUCGCGCAUCUGCAAGAACAAGGAGAAGCUGCUGGCCGACUGGUGCAGCGGCACGGCCAACCGGGAGCGCAAGCGCAAGCGGGAGUCCAAGUACAGCGGGAUGGACGAGGCUCUGCUCUGCUGGUACCACAUCGCCCGGGCCAAGGCCUGGGACGUCACGGGGCCCAUGCUGCUCCACAAAGCCAAGGAACUGGCUGACAUCAUGGGCCAGGAUUUUGUGCCCAGCAUCGGCUGGCUGGUCCGCUGGAAGCGCCGGAACAACGUAGGCUUCGGGGGCCGCCACGGACUUGCGCCCUCCUUCCCCCCGGAGCCCCCACCCCCAAGCCCCACGUCCCGGGCCCAGCAUCCUCUUUCCCUUAAAGACUUCUCCCCAGAGGACGUUUUCGGCUGUGCCGAAGUGCCUCUGCUGUACCGGGCCGUGCCCGGCAGCGGGGGGCCCUGUGAGCGCGUGCGGGUGCUGCUGUGCACCAACAGCAGGGGCACGGAGAAGCGGCGGCUGCUGGUCAGUGGGCUCCAGGCCUCGCCCAGGUGCUUCUUUGGCGUCAACAGUGAGGCCCUGCCUGCCUCCUGCCACCCUGACCUGGGCAUCCCCUGGUCCGAGUGGCUGGCCCAGUUCGACAGGGACAUGGGCCGGCAGGGGCGACAGGUCACCCUGCUGCUGGCGGCCCGGGUGCUGGAGGAGCUGGCCAGCCUGCCCGGACUCCGCCACGUGAGGCUCCUGCCCCUGGCCGCCACCACGGCCGCUCCCAGCACGCCAGCCCUGCCCAGCUCUGUGGUCCGAGCCUUCAAGACACAUUACCGGCACCGGCUGCUGGGCAAGCUAGCCGCUGUGCAGAGCAGGAGGGCCGGCGUCUCGCUGGCAGAGGCCGGGGCGGGCCUCACAGUGCUGGAUGCGCUGCACCUGGCAGCGGCGGCCUGGGCCAAGGUGCCCCCGCAGCUCAUCGUCAGAGGCUUCAUCCAGGAAGGGCUGGCUCCCUGCCAGCUGCCGCCAGCCCCCAACGAAGCCUCCGAGCUGCCUCUGGUCCCCAGCGGGCUGAGUCUCCAGGAGUUUGCCCGCUUUGUGGACCUGGAGGGCGAGGAGCCCUCAUCUGGAGCGUGCAAAGAGGAGACGGGCGCCGAGGCCGAGGAGGGGUUUGGGGAGGACGGCUUCCAGCCCCUGCCCACCAAAGCUGACGCUCUCCGGGCUCUGGGCACGCUCCGGAGGUGGCUGGAGUGCAACAGCCCCUCCCCUGCGCUCUUUGAAAAAUUCUACGCCUGCGAGGAGGAGGUAGAGCGGCUCUGCUGCCUGUGAAGGGCCCCUCAUGGCUCGCCGGAGCCUCUCCUCUCCUGUUUCCCAUGGAAACGCCCUCUCUAGAAGGCAGACGGGAGGCUGGUCUCUUUCCCGUGGAAAUGGAGCUCUUGUGAAAGCAUCUCUCCAGCAAGCCUGCGUGGUGAGACUGCAUAAAUGGUGUCCCCGCUGGGCAGGACCUUGGGACAGCAGAGGUGCAUCGUGAUUAAAGGCUGUCACCCAGGCAGGUGCACAGUCAUGUGGCCCCGCAGAGCCCGGGGAGACUCCUGGAGGGGUUGUGCCCUCUGAGCUGCAGCUUGGCCGGUAAGGCCAGUCCAACACAAGGAGUGGCGGGCACGGAGGCCGACUGGGAGGGAGCACCGUGUGGUGGGCGGAGGCAGGUGGCCCCUCCCGAGCACAUGGGGAGGCCUGGGGAGCAGGAGGGCUGUUUAGCUCACUAGACCUGGUGAGGGGGUACCCCAAAGUUCCUCAGUCGGGAUGGGGACAGUCAUUCGUGGGAGUUCUAGAAUAAUUGAGAUGUGGAGGGUGGGUCGAAGAUGUGAGAGCCACUGGCAGACAGAGUCCGAGUGGUCCAGGUGGGAUAUGGGCAGCCCGAGCCAGAUCAGGAAGGAGGACUUGAAGAGGCUGGAUUCACCUGGAAAGGCCAUGGGCCAUGGGCACAGACAGACUGGGCUGGUGAGGAGUCCAGCUCUGGCCAAAAUCUUCUUGUGGCCUAAAAGGCAGUAGGCCAUCACAAGUCAGUGCGGGGCAACUUUUGGUUUUGGGGAUACUGCGGUCCAGGACUCAGUGUCCACGGCAGCCACGCAAGGGGGGGGAGGGGCAGAGGGAGAGGAAAAGUCUUAAGCAGACUCCGUGUUGAGUGUGGACCCUUACCCAGCCACCCUGGGAUCAUGACCUGAGACCAAAUCAAGAGUCAGACACUUAACCAACUGAGCCCCCCAGGCGGCCCGGACAGCUCACUUUUAAACCGUGCUGAGCCUGCCUGAUGGUCUUCCAAACCCCAAAUCCUGUAGGCUUUCCUCACAGAUUCCAGUUUUCCUACCCAUCUUCCAUUGUCCCUUUUCUGAAAUCAUCCCAGUUCUGACCUAUCUCCUUAAACGUUAAAACCAGAAUUAUAUGACCUCUAAAGACCCGACCAAAGUAACAGGAGGGGACACACCAGCCCUCUGUCCUGGGUGCUGUAUUCCAGUUAGAGCAGCUCAGCUUGACGGCCAUAUUUCUGCCUUUCUCCCAGAGCCUUUCUUUUAAAGCCACAAAGAACCAUUUCCUUUCCUGUGCUGCUGUCCUGUAACAUUCUUGUCCUGUUUGCAAGCGACUUCGUUAGCUCAUUCAAACACUAUUUACUGACUUCUUUGCUUGUGAGUCAGGCGCUGUUCCAGGACCCUCCAGCUCAUAGAGAACAAGACAGAAAGGAUCCCUCCUCUCCAAGCCCUUCUUUCUGGCAGAGGGAGAUAAAGAAGAGACGAGCAAACCAAUAAACGUGGUCAUUUUAGAGGGAAAUCUGUGCCAAGAUGAGAAUAAAAUAGUGAUGUUUUUGAGAGGGGCUGGGAGAUGGGAGUUAGGGAGAAGUCUUUUGGGCUGAGUCACAAAGAGUAAGGAAGUGUUCUCUGCCCAGGGAGCAGCAGGUGCAAACGUCACAGGCCGGAGCAACUGUCCUGUGGUAGAGAGUGGGGGCGGGGGGGGGUGUCAAGCAGAGGAGGAGGGUGGAGAGGAGAGGAAGCAGGGGCCUCGGGGUCACAUUGUUCACGGUCACCUCAAGUGAGACAAGCAGUUCGGAGGGGUGGUCUUGGUGGGGGCCUGAUUUGGAUAACGGAGGAACACACAUUAUGUUUUAGAAAAUCAGAUUCUAGUCACUGUGUGAAGCUCAUAUGGGAAGUGGGGGGGCGACACACGCGGAAGCAGGAAAACCAAGGAAGUCAGGAAGCUACUGCAUUCGGGGAGACCUGAUGGGCAGGAAGGAGAGGAAGGAAGACACCUUCCCAACAGAGCGGAGCUCUUACCAAGGUCCCGGCAGGCAUCACCACCCGCACAGUGAGGGCAGGACUAAGUGCGGGCGUUGUUUCCGUUUAUCUACAAGCCUGUGAUGAGUACCCUCUGCUCAGAGGGCGGCAGAGGUGAAUAAGACACAGUCCCUGUACCUAAGGAACCAGCGAGAGAACUAGGAAGUGACCUAUAUAUAGCCUGGGGGUGGGGGAACGCUAGAUCUGUUGCUUUUGUUUCUACUGAUGCUUCAACUCAUGGUAGCUUUUUUCUUUGUGUGUCUUUUAAUUUCUGGAUGUGGGAAUCAUUUUUAAAAAUAUCUUAUUAGGUUUUUUGUUUUUUUUUUUAAUCUCUGGAAAACUUGAAGGUCUGAUUUAGGGAGCCCUUUCAGAAGAAUGUGUAAUUACUCCUACCAGGCACGAGAGGGCGCUACGGACACGCUAAAUUAAUUUCUCCGGGGAAAGCUGUUUCAGACCUGAAGUUCCGUGAGUAGGCCUGUGGUUCCUGGUUCACAGAGGGGACUCUUACUCUUAAUUUCUGCCCACCACAAGGGAGAGUAGGUUUCUUUGUAGAUUCCCUUUAGUGGUGGAUGGAGGUUUUCUAGUUCACCCUUUCGCUAAAGAGGUAUCCUUUUCCAGAAUCUUGGUUUAAUUUAUGAGUCUUGGGUUCAGCGCCCCUGUGUGUGUCACUCAAUGUCUAGUCUUCAGCUCCAGGAAGUUCUUUACCUCCAAGGUCUCAGCAUUAGUGUGAGCCCCAAGGGCAGCUCUAGUUCCAAUACCCCGAUUUGCCCUUGGGAAGUUCUCUUACUUCUUGAAAAGUUAGCAACGGUUUUAAGAUCGUGUUUGUAAUAACAGAUCUGGAAUCCAGCUGCCUUGUAGAAGGAGGGCUCUAGGUAAAGUCUAGAGCACCAGUCUGCCAGAAGGGAUAUUGGGAAGACCGGGUGUUUUGUUUUUGUGUUUUUUUUCAUUUACUCAUUCAUUCAUUUGUUCAAAGCUCUUCAUUGAACAACUCUUGUGUGUCCGCUGGCAUUCUGAUGAUGAACAAAAAGAGGCAAGUUCUCAGCUUCACAGAGCCCAUAGCUUAGAGGAAGGACAAUAAUCAUAAAAGAAUCAUACGCACAAAAGCCUGUGAUUCCAGAUAAAGUGGGGAUUACAUGAGAGCACAAGCUAGUGGUUCUCAGACUGUGGCCCAUGCUGGCAGCAUCAGUAGGAACUUAGGAAAGCACAAAUUCUUGGAGUCUCCUCAAACCUCCCGAUUCAGAAACCCCAGCAUGGGACCCAGUAAUCUGUAUUUGAACACGUCCCCCCAGGUGAUUCUAAACACUGGCAUAAGCCAGAGGAACUUGACCUAGACAGUGGGACUGAGGAAAGUUUUCCUAAAGAAGUGGUGAUGGCAGCAGAAGGGUGAGUGGGAGGUGCACAGCUAGUGAGAACUAUACAUGCAAAUGUCCUGUGGUGAGAGGGAACGUGGUUGUUUAAGGAACCAAGAGAAGGCGAAUGUCUGAGAACCUUGAAGGUUGUAGAAGGGGUUUGUCCUGAUUCCACAGAGCAAUGGCUUCCCAUUGCUCUGGAAGAAGCAAUGCCAUAGGAAGAAGGUGAGUAGUUUGUCCAGCUUCAGGACAGGACGGGGGCUGUGGUUUUAGGACUGAGAAAGAGAGAGUGAGUCCUAGAAAACUUUAGGGGCAGGGUUGGCAGGAGCUGGGGACUCCUUUAAUGUGGGCGGAGGGGCGCUUCUCUGAGACCUCUGGCCUGAGGACAUUUCUGGGCCACAGAGCACUGCAGGAGGAGCAGGCUGGAGGCGGAACGUGGCACUUUGGGAUGCUCAAGAAUGCGUGAGCAGAGACAGCCAGCAGUGUGGACCUAGGGCUCGGGACAGUAGUCAGGCUGGAAACACCAUAGAAGCACAUUCGAAAACCGCAUCCCCAUGGCUCAGCUGUCGAGUAAGUGUGGGAGAAGUGAAUUAAGCCAGAAGCGUCCCACAGUGUGUCAUUUCUCCCUGUGCGAACGGACUCCACGCCAGUCAGCCUCUUCUAAUGUCUCCACUGUGAUCACUGCUGUAAAAGCAAGUGUCACGUUUGACAUCGUGGAAACCAACGAGAUGCUAUUUACAUUUGUCCAAGUCACGGGCUGCUUAUACGCAAGGCUCGGACACCAGCCCCAUUGUCAACCUCAAAGCAGGUGCAUUUGCUGUUUGGUUUUUAGGGAUUCCUUCGAUCUCAGUGAGCUCUCAAAAAGAAUGAUGACCUCUAACAACAUGGUAAUUCCUUGAGGAAUUUUUUUU
RNA transcript from Mustela erminea (ermine), 6410 nucleotides. It is a transcript of the gene named tigger transposable element derived 3, with no coding region annotated. The transcript is spliced from 3 exons. The record is from RefSeq and is a predicted model, not a curated record. Lineage: Eukaryota; Metazoa; Chordata; Mammalia; Carnivora; Mustelidae.